GAGCCCACUCCCUCCUCCACGCCCGCCAUGUUGCCCGAGAGCGCGAGGGAGUGAGACCCAGCGGCGAGAGCCCGCUCCUUCUUCACCCACCUACACCCGCGACGCCGGAAGCUGCUCUCGGUGGUAGGGGCGCAGGGAAUUCUGGGACCGCGGAGGACUCGCCUGCGGGUGCCCAGCACGCGUCUGUGCCUGGAGCCGGGCUGGGGCGGGCCAGCUGCGGUCAGACUCGUCAGACUCGCCUGCAACUUCGUCCGGGGCCCCGGACGUCCCCGGGGCAAACCUGCCCGCGCCUAGUCAAGUUUAAAAGGGAUCUUCAGCUCCAGAGUGAGGUGGAGGCGCCUUGCCUGCCGGGUCAAAUGUGUGCCUGAGAGAGAGUGAGAUGGAGGAAAAGAAAGAGAAUGCUCCCUCCACAGAAUCUGGUCAUAUUAUGACCUUCCUUUUCCAGUCCUUUAGCCCAUUGGAUACUGGCACUUAUGCAAGUGCCUGUUGUAUUUCAGGCUAACUAAGCUGGGAAUUGGAGCUGCCAUGUGGGAUCUGGCAUCUCUUGAGAAGAGCAGGACCACUAAGCCACAAUUUUCAAGUAUGAGAACGAUCCUUGAGGACGCAAUAUAAAGAAUGCAGAACAUGAAGAUGGAAUGAUGCUGGACCCUUGAUGAUACAGUCACUGAUAUGGAAAACUCUAGAAUCACUCUGUUAGCAAACAUGUAAGGUAUUACAUUCCUGUAGUCUUCAAAACAGAGUUGUCUGAUACUUAUAAAUAAAGUCAUCCUACCCAGUACUAACU
This is a long non-coding RNA of Tupaia belangeri chinensis (Chinese tree shrew), 784 nucleotides long. RefSeq lists it as uncharacterized. The record is from RefSeq and is a predicted model, not a curated record. The transcript is spliced from 3 exons. NCBI's taxonomy places the organism in Eukaryota, Metazoa, Chordata, Mammalia, Scandentia, Tupaiidae.